AGAGUUUGAUCCUGGCUCAGAGCGAACGCUGGCGGCAGGCCUAACACAUGCAAGUCGAGCGGGCCCCUUCGGGGGUCAGUGGCAGACGGGUGAGUAACGCGUGGGAACGUGCCCAUCGGUUCGGGAUAACCCAGGGAAACUUGGGCUAAUACCGGAUACGCCCUUUGGGGGGAAAGAUUCAUUGCCGAUGGAUCGGCCCGCGUCUGAUUAGCUAGUUGGCGAGGUAACGGCUCACCAAGGCGACGAUCAGUAGCUGGUCUGAGAGGAUGAUCAGCCACACUGGGACUGAGACACGGCCCAGACUCCUACGGGAGGCAGCAGUGGGGAAUAUUGGACAAUGGGCGCAAGCCUGAUCCAGCCAUGCCGCGUGAGUGAUGAAGGCCUUAGGGUUGUAAAGCUCUUUCACCCACGACGAUAAUGACGGUAGUGGGAGAAGAAGCCCCGGCUAACUUCGUGCCAGCAGCCGCGGUAAUACGAAGGGGGCUAGCGUUGCUCGGAAUCACUGGGCGUAAAGGGCGCGUAGGCGGCCGAUCAAGUCAGGGGUGAAAGCCUGUGGCUCAACCACAGAAUUGCCUUUGAUACUGUUCGGCUCGAGACCGGAAGAGGUUGGUGGAACUGCGAGUGUAGAGGUGAAAUUCGUAGAUAUUCGCAAGAACACCAGUGGCGAAGGCGGCCAACUGGUCCGGUUCUGACGCUGAGGCGCGAAAGCGUGGGGAGCAAACAGGAUUAGAUACCCUAGUAGUCC
Molecule: ribosomal RNA, 745 nt
Filed under: uncultured bacterium
Lineage: Bacteria
Description: bacterial SSU rRNA
Rfam family: Bacterial small subunit ribosomal RNA
Source: RNAcentral